UGGGUAACCUGCCCAAGAGAUCGGGAUAACACCUGGAAACAGAUGCUAAUACCGGAUAACAACAGAUGAUGCCUAUCAACUGUUUAAAAGAUGGUUCUGCUAUCACUCUUGGAUGGACCUGCGGUGCAUUAGCUAGUUGGUAGGGUAACGGCCUACCAAGGCGAUGAUGCAUAGCCGGGUUGAGAGACUGAUCGGCCACAUUGGGACUGAGACACGGCCCAAACUCCUACGGGAGGCAGCAGGC
This 244-nucleotide ribosomal RNA is filed under the name uncultured Lactobacillus sp. RNAcentral describes it as "partial 16S ribosomal RNA". It matches the Rfam family "Bacterial small subunit ribosomal RNA", at positions 118 to 354 of the family's 1533-position model. The record is from RNAcentral. Lineage: Bacteria; Bacillati; Bacillota; Bacilli; Lactobacillales; Lactobacillaceae.